AGGCAAUUUAAAUAAAUUAAGUUUUUUGGUAUAAUCAAUCCCUAAGACUUUGCGUCGUAAGGCAGCACUUCCCUUGCGAUAGUAACUUCUAGUAAUAAUAAUAAUUUUAUAAUGCAUAUAGCUAUACCGAAUGACAUGGCGUAUGAAAAGAUGGGAAAAGUAGACUGACUACAGAAAAAGUAAUGAAUUGAACUGUACCUGCUUUUGAUGUUUGGGCAGUUUUCUCCAGGUUAAAGCUCGCGAGGUAGUGUUCUUAAUAGAACAAGACUGUUCGUGUGCGUGAACCCGCACAGUUAUAGACGUCGACUGUUUGAAUAAGGCAACAAGUUAAAAAACCUUAAAAAUAAUUGUUGGGAUUUGUAGCUACUAGCGAAUAUAAUAAAAAUUUACCUUAUCCUUGGUAACAAAUGUCAUAACAGAGUUCACCGACACGCUAUCUUUAAAGACACUUGCCAGUUAAGUCAGUUAACUGUCUACGACUUAAAACGCACGUACCUGAUACAGCGAAUUUUUACUCAUGAUUUUCAUGAUAUUCCAUCGGGCUCCAUAUAAAAACGAUGGAAUGCUUGCUUUGUGUACAGUUAUUUAUUAGAAAUAAUGCAAUGUUAUAAUUACAACCUCAUAGAUAUUUGCAUGUUGUCCGUACAAGAUACGAGCACAUGGCGAGAUAUGACACCCAACCCCAUGAAACAUAAGCCAAUGAAUAUCAAGAUUUAAAUAUCUAAUUAUAAUGUUACAUAAUAAACUUUAUUGUCUUUUACAACGACAUUUUAAAGGCUAUAUAUAAGCUUAACUUGCGUCGUCCCAAAGAUGCAUGUGUCCAAAAAACCAAAGAAUCAAAAAAUAAAAAGUCUCUAAAAAUAAAAAAAAUUCAAAAAUAAAAAAAAAAUGUUCCAAAAAUCCUCGUACAAUUUUUGCCGAGUAAGGCUUUUUCUGCAAAAGUGGGUAACAUUUCGUUUGGCCAAUUUCCUGUUGAAUGGUCUUGGUUUUUGUUUUGCUUUAGGUUGCAUAAAUUAGAUCUCAUUUGCCGGGUUUUGAGUGUAUAUAUAAGAGCAGAUAAUCGCUCACACAUUCAAAUCCCUUCAUAUUAUUACACAUGACAGAGCGAUUUCAAACUCUUUCUCCGUGAAAACUAUACGGCCAAGCAUUAUAAGUCACUAGUUUUAAAUAUGCUGCCAUAGAUCCACUAUUAUGAAAACUGAAUGCACUUGCAUCAGACUAAGCGGACCAGCAGGAGACUUCCAAUGCCCAUCCAGAUUUUUUAGUCCAACACGAGUUGUCUUCUGCGAAUUUUCCUGCUGAAACCAGAAGUUGCUUGAAGCUAACGAGUGCGUUAUAUCAUUCUACGAUAGUUGUAGUAGAAUGGUUUUGCUGGA
Paramuricea clavata is the source of this 1376-nucleotide non-coding RNA. Lineage: Eukaryota; Metazoa; Cnidaria; Anthozoa; Malacalcyonacea; Plexauridae. The record is from the annotation of a GenBank genome assembly.